Molecule: ribosomal RNA, 809 nt
Filed under: uncultured Archangiaceae bacterium
Lineage: Bacteria; Pseudomonadati; Myxococcota; Myxococcia; Myxococcales; Archangiaceae
Description: bacterial SSU rRNA
Rfam family: Bacterial small subunit ribosomal RNA
Source: RNAcentral
AAUGGGAGCAAUCCCUAGUAGAGCGGCGCACGGGUGCGUAACACGUGGGUAAUCUGCCUGGAAGACCGGGACAACCUUCCGAAAGGAAAGCUAAUACCGGAUAAGCCUACGGGGUCUUCGGACCUUGGAGGAAAAGGUGGCCUCUGUAUACAAGCUAUCACUUCCAGAUGAGCCCGCGGCCCAUCAGCUAGUUGGCGGGGUAACGGCCCACCAAGGCAACGACGGGUAGCUGGUCUGAGAGGACGAUCAGCCACACUGGAACUGAGACACGGUCCAGACUCCUACGGGAGGCAGCAGUGGGGAAUUUUGCACAAUGGGCGAAAGCCUGAUGCAGCAACGCCGCGUGUGUGAUGAAGGUCUUCGGAUUGUAAAGCACUUUCGACCGGGACGAAACACCCUUGGCUAACAUCCAAGGGCCUGACGGUACCGGGAGAAGAAGCACCGGCUAACUCUGUGCCAGCAGCCGCGGUAAUACAGAGGGUGCAAGCGUUGUUCGGAAUUAUUGGGCGUAAAGCGCGUGUAGGCGGCUUUGCAAGUCGGGUGUGAAAUCCCUCAGCUUAACUGAGGAAGUGCGCCCGAAACUGCCGAGCUUGAGUACCGGAGAGGGUGGCGGAAUUCCCUAAGUAGAGGUGAAAUUCGUAGAUAUGGGGAGGAACACCGGUGGCGAAGGCGGCCACCUGGACGGAUACUGACGCUGAGACGCGAAAGCGUGGGGAGCAAACAGGAUUAGAUACCCUGGUAGUCCACGCCGUAAACGAUGAGAACUAGGUGUCGUGGGUGUUGACCCCCGCGGUGCCGUAGCUAACGCA